This is a long non-coding RNA of Homo sapiens (human), 2950 nucleotides long. The record is from Ensembl. Lineage: Eukaryota; Metazoa; Chordata; Mammalia; Primates; Hominidae.
ACAGUACGCAGGCGCGGCGCGGCGCGGCGCGCCGCAGCGACGCAGGGCUGUUGCCGGCGCGGGGGCGGGCGCUCACAUGACUUACCGGCGGUGGCUCCGCGGCGUGCGCCCUGCCAGGAGGGGCCUGUGCUCGAGGAGCAGGCCUGGCGAGUAGCCCAGCCACUCCACGUUGAGCCGGGACUUGCCGCGCAACAUGGUCCUCCUGGGCGGGCGGCGGCUACGCCGCCCCCUGAACUCGCGUGAACACUGGUCCUCGUCUGCGUCUCGGUCGCUGAGCUGGGGGCCGCAAGGAGACCCGAGCAUAUGAGCCGCGAAGAGGGACUACCAGCCAGAGGGCUGUGGUGCUAGGCAACUGAGCGUAUUCCGCCGACGACAACACAAAAAAGCAGUGCGCAUUAUUUCGCCACUACUUGAGCAAAUAAAUGCCUCAUUAAUUACUGCCCGCAGUGGUAGGAAGUCAAGCCCUUGGCAGCUGGGAGGAGUUAAAACACUCACCCGAGUCCGUAAAACUAGAGAAUGUCAGAGUUCAAAGAGCUCUUGCUGAGAAUGACUGUUCCAGACUCGAUGCCAGUGACCCCCAACUUCCACUUAAAAGUUAAAAACAUAUUUUGCAGCUGCUCAGAAAGCCGCCAAUGAGACAACAGGGACUCAAAUAGUAAGAACAGAUGGGCCUCCCGGGCCUGCGCAACCCGAGAGAGGUAAAAACGAAAGGGUGGGUAAGUCUGGAGUCAGGCUUGACAAAAUUAAGUUGCCACUGGCUGCUAAUAAGAGGACAGCCCUUAACAUGGUCAGCGCCUGGAAAGGGCCGCUGACCACACAGCUAUUUUCUGCACCACAUGGAUACAAAGACCACAUCUGAAAUCAUGACUAAACCAGCAGCUUAGAGUGGUGGAAAGGGCAAUGGACUGGGCAGCAGGAAGUCCAGGUUUUAGUUCAAACUGAAUAAUCCCCCUCUAGGGCUGACUGUGCUGGCUCACGCCUGUAAUCUCAACACUUUGGGAAGCUGAGGCAGGAGGAUUGCGUGAGGCCAGUAGUUCCAGAGCAGCUUGGGCAGCAUAGCAAGACUCCGUCUCUAAAAAACAAACUGUAAAAUAUUUAAUAAAAAUAAUAGUAAUCUCUAUCUGGGCCUCAUCUAGACCUUUAGGUGAGUAAGAACCACCUAAUGUAAGAACUUGGGGUACAAAGAGAAUCUAGCUCUGGGGUAGGCAAACUGAGCCAGCCGACCUAAUACAUGGAGCCUACCACCUGUUUUUCUACAGCCCUGAGGUUCAUAUGCAGAAGGGACUUGCCUUUUCUCAGAUGAGAUGUUGGACUCGGACUUUUGAGUUAAUGCUGAAAUGAGCUAAGACUUUGGGGAACUGUUGGGAAGACAUGAUCGGUUUUGAAAUGCGAGAAGGACAUGAGAUGUGGGAGGGGCCAAGGGUGGAAUUAUAAGGUUUAGCUCUGUGUCCCCACCCAAAUUUCAUCUCGAAUUGUAAUUCCUAAUGUUGGGGAAGGGACCUGGUGGGAAGUGAUUGGAUCAUGGGGGUGGACUUCCCUCAUGCUGUUCUCCUGAUAAUGAGUGAGUUCUCAUGAGAUCUGCUUGUUUAAAGGUGUAUGGCACUUCCCCCCUUGCUCACGCUUUCUCUCUUCUGCUGCCAUGAGAAGAAAGUGCUUGCUUUCCCUUUGCUUUUCUCCCAUGAUUCAGUUUCUGAGGCCUCCCAGUCAUGCUUCCUGUUAAGUCUGUGGAACUUGGAGUCAAUUAAACCUCUUUUCUUCAUAAAUUACUCAGUCUCAGGUGGUUCUUUAUAGCAGUGUGAGAACAGACUAAUGUACUAAGCAAUAAGAAAGAUGUCCAGGCCCCAAAUGCCCCAACCUGACACCUAGCUGGCUCUUAAAGAGGGUAGCUACUGUGAAGAGGGAGAAAAAGGCCUUGGCAUCUGCAGACCCUCUUUCUUUAUGAUCCUUUAAAUAUAAAGGAUGUGUUUAUGUCUGUCUUCCUAAGUAGGAAGUUUUAUUCUUUAAACUAAAUUUGACCUACUGGCAUGUGACAAGAAUCACUGACUUGUCAUUACUGGCAUGUGACAAGAAUCACUGACUUGUCAUCUAACUGACAUCUGAAGUUCCUAACAUCCUAAGGGAUGGGGACAAGUAGGAGGAAGCUACAGAAAAACAUAUAUGUCUGAGUUUUUGUUUUAAAUGUGUGAGGUAAAAGCAAAUUGUUUCUGUUCUGCUUAAACUGUUAUUUGAAAGUAUGUUGCCCCAGGCCUAGGCAUUUGCUAAGCUCUCUCAAAUUCACAUCUUCUCUUAUUCUCUCAUUCUCUGCCUCCAGUGGUUUCUAUUUAGAGGUGGAUCAACCCAUUAGCAGUCUUGGACUCUGCUCCUUUUCUGCUUCUCAGAAACCCCUUUCAGUUUUCUACCAUUUGCAGCACACUUCAUGCAAUAAUUGGCAAAACUCUGUCAAUUUAAUUAGACUUCCUGACAAUUCCAGAACAUCUCCCCCCUUCAAAGCACUUGCUUUCCAAUAGCAACUGAAACAUAAAUCCUGAUGCUUUGACUUUCAUGUUUCUCUUGAAAUAAUAUUGUUAAUGACUUUUUGUAACCAUUGGAGGCCUUUGAAUAGAGUUUGAAUUAAAAUACUGGCAACAAAUAUCUGUGAGUCAUGUAAAAAAAGCUCAAAAUUAAAUGUUCAUUUUGCACAGAAGAACAUUUUCAUUAAUAUUUCUUUGCUUGAUGUAUCUGAUCUUGUCAUAAAGAGUUGUGCUAAGGGGAAAUUUUGUUUAUAGAAUUAUAUCAUAUUAUAUUAUGUUUAUAUCAUAUUUCCCCAUUGUUUAACACUGCAAAAAUAUAAAUAAGUGCUCCUGUUAGGAAGAAAACAAUUUGUUCUCAAAAACGUAUUUUAUAAUGUAUCAAGAUUUUUAAAAGAUCAUGUAUUGAAUAGAUUCACUCAUUUUGUAAAUAAUAAUUUCUA